Molecule: ribosomal RNA, 389 nt
Filed under: uncultured bacterium
Lineage: Bacteria
Description: bacterial SSU rRNA
Rfam family: Bacterial small subunit ribosomal RNA
Source: RNAcentral
AUUGAACGCUGGCGGCAUGCCUUACACAUGCAAGUCGAACGGCAGCACGGGGCAACCUGGUGGCGAGUGGCGAACGGGUGAGUAAUGCAUCGGAACGUGCCAUUGAGUGGGGGAUAACGUAGCGAAAGUUGCGCUAAUACCGCAUAUUCUGUGAGCAGGAAAGCAGGGGGACCGCAAGGCCUUGCGCUCUUUGAGCGGCCGAUGUCAGAUUAGCUAGUUGGUGAGGUAACGGCUUACCAAGGCGACGAUCUGUAGCGGGUCUGAGAGGAUGAUCCGCCACACUGGAACUGAGACACGGUCCAGACUCCUACGGGAGGCAGCAGUGGGGAAUUUUGGACAAUGGGGGCAACCCUGAUCCAGCCAUGCCGCGUGAGUGAAGAAGGCCUCGG